Molecule: ribosomal RNA, 465 nt
Filed under: Vreelandella stevensii
Lineage: Bacteria; Pseudomonadati; Pseudomonadota; Gammaproteobacteria; Oceanospirillales; Halomonadaceae
Description: partial 16S ribosomal RNA
Rfam family: Bacterial small subunit ribosomal RNA
Source: RNAcentral
CCUACGGGCGGCAGCAGUGGGGAAUAUUGGACAAUGGGGGGAACCCUGAUCCAGCCAUGCCGCAUGUGUGAAGAAGGCCCUCGGGUUGUAAAGCACUUUCAGUGAGGAAGAACGCCUGGUGGUUAAUACCCAUCAGGAAAGACAUCACUCACAGAAGAAGCACCGGCUAACUCCGUGCCAGCAGCCGCGGUAAUACGGAGGGUGCGAGCGUUAAUCGGAAUUACUGGGCGUAAAGCGCGCGUAGGUGGCUUGAUAAGCCGGUUGUGAAAGCCCCGGGCUCAACCUGGGAACGGCAUCCGGAACUGUCAAGCUAGAGUGCAGGAGAGGAAGGUAGAAUUCCCGGUGUAGCGGUGAAAUGCGUAGAGAUCGGGAGGAAUACCAGUGGCGAAGGCGGCCUUCUGGACUGACACUGACACUGAGGUGCGAAAGCGUGGGUAGCAAACAGGAUUAGAUACCCUAGUAGUC